Molecule: ribosomal RNA, 496 nt
Filed under: Clostridium sp. A4-55
Lineage: Bacteria; Bacillati; Bacillota; Clostridia; Eubacteriales; Clostridiaceae
Also listed under: 1 other name
Description: bacterial SSU rRNA
Rfam family: Bacterial small subunit ribosomal RNA
Source: RNAcentral
AGAGUUUGAUCCUGGCUCAGGACGAACGCUGGCGGCGUGCUUAACACAUGCAAGUCGAGCGAUGAAGCUCCUUCGGGAGCGGAUUAGCGGCGGACGGGUGAGUAACACGUGGGUAACCUGCCUCAUAGAGGGGAAUAGCCUUUCGAAAGGAAGAUUAAUACCGCAUAAGAUUGUAGUGCCGCAUGGCAUAGCAAUUAAAGGAGUAAUCCGCUAUGAGAUGGACCCGCGUCGCAUUAGCUAGUUGGUGAGGUAACGGCUCACCAAGGCGACGAUGCGUAGCCGACCUGAGAGGGUGAUCGGCCACAUUGGGACUGAGACACGGCCCAGACUCCUACGGGAGGCAGCAGUGGGGAAUAUUGCACAAUGGGGGAAACCCUGAUGCAGCAACGCCGCGUGAGUGAUGACGGUCUUCGGAUUGUAAAGCUCUGUCUUCAGGGACGAUAAUGACGGUACCUGAGGAGGAAGCCACGGCUAACUACGUGCCAGCAGCCGCGGU